Molecule: ribosomal RNA, 473 nt
Filed under: uncultured bacterium
Lineage: Bacteria
Description: SSU rRNA
Rfam family: Bacterial small subunit ribosomal RNA
Source: RNAcentral
AGAGCGAACGCUGGCGGCAGGCCUAACACAUGCAAGUCGAGCGGCCGUAGCAAUACGGCAGCGGCAGACGGGAGAGUAACACGUGGGAACGCGCCCUUCGGUUCGGAAUAACUCAGGGAAACUUGAGCUAAUACCGGAUACGCCCUUACGGGGAAAGAUUUAUUGCCGAAGGAACGGCCCGCGUCCGAUUAGCUUGUUGGUGAGGUAAUGGCUCACCAAGGCGACGAUCGGUAGCUGGUCUGAGAGGAUGACCAGCCUCACUGGGACUGAGACACGGCCCAGACUCCUACGGGAGGCAGCAGUGGGGAAUAUUGGACAAUGGGCGAAAGCCUGAUCCAGCAAUGCCGCGUGUGUGAAGAAGGCCUUCGGGUUGUAAAGCGACUUUAAGUUGGGAAGAAAAACUACGUCCUAAUACGAUGAGUCUUGACGGUACCGACAGAAUAAGCACCGGCUAACUCUGCGCCAGCAGCCGC